This 500-nucleotide ribosomal RNA is filed under the name uncultured bacterium. RNAcentral's name for it is "partial 16S ribosomal RNA". It matches the Rfam family "Bacterial small subunit ribosomal RNA", at positions 30 to 523 of the family's 1533-position model. The record is from RNAcentral.
AUUGAACGCUGGCGGAAUGCUUUACACAUGCAAGUCGAACGGCAGCACGGGGGUAACCCUGGUGGCGAGUGGCGAACGGGUGAGUAAUACAUCGGAACGUGCCCAAUCGUGGGGGAUAACGUAGCGAAAGCUACGCUAAUACCGCAUACGAUCUACGGAUGAAAGCGGGGGAUCGCAAGGCCUCGCGCGAAUGGAGCGGCCGAUGGCAGAUUAGGUAGUUGGUGGGGUAAAGGCUCACCAAGCCAACGAUCUGUAGCUGGUCUGAGAGGACGACCAGCCACACUGGGACUGAGACACGGCCCAGACUCCUACGGGAGGCAGCAGUGGGGAAUUUUGGACAAUGGGCGCAAGCCUGAUCCAGCCAUUCCGCGUGCAGGAUGAAGGCCUUCGGGUUGUAAACUGCUUUUGUACGGAACGAAACGGCCCUUUCUAAUACAGAGGGCUAAUGACGGUACCGUAAGAAUAAGCACCGGCUAACUACGUGCCAGCCGCCGCGGUAA